AUCGCAAGACCUCGCGCGAUUGGAGCGGCCGAUAUCAGAUUAGGUAGUUGGUGAGUAAAGGCUCACCAAGCCGACGAUCUGUAGCUGGUCUGAGAGGACGACCAGCCACACUGGGACUGAGACACGGCCCAGACUCCUACGGGAGGCAGCAGUGGGGAAUUUUAGACAAUGGGCGCAAGCCUGAUCCAGCAAUGCCGCGUGCAGGAUGAAGGCCUUCGGGUUGUAAACUGCUUUUGUACGGAACGAAACGGUGAGCUCUAAUACAGUUUGCUAAUGACGGUACCGUAAGAAUAAGCACCGGCUAACUACGUG
Molecule: ribosomal RNA, 312 nt
Filed under: uncultured bacterium
Lineage: Bacteria
Description: bacterial SSU rRNA
Rfam family: Bacterial small subunit ribosomal RNA
Source: RNAcentral